RNAcentral lists this ribosomal RNA (358 nucleotides) under uncultured organism. RNAcentral describes it as "bacterial SSU rRNA". It matches the Rfam family "Bacterial small subunit ribosomal RNA", at positions 45 to 433 of the family's 1533-position model. The record is from RNAcentral.
CGCCUAACACAUGCAAGUCGAGUGCCUUUAAAAGCACGGCAAACGGCUGCGUAACACGUUGGUAUCUGCCCCGAACUCAGGAAUAACCCGCCGAAAGGCGGAGUAAUACCGGAUGGUCCCGAAAGGGUAAAGAUUUUUCGGUUCGGGAGGAGCCUGCGGCCUAUCAGCUAGUUGGUGAGGUAACGGCUCACCAAGGCAAUGACGGGUAGCUGGUCUGAGAGGACGACCAGCCAGAAUGGAACUGCGACACGGUCCAUACUCCUACGGGAGGCAGCAGUGAGGAAUCUUCCGCAAUGGGCGAAAGCCUGACGGAGCGACGCCGCGUGGUGGAUGAAGGCCCUAUCGGGUCGUAAACACC